Long non-coding RNA from Sapajus apella (tufted capuchin), 2424 nucleotides. RefSeq lists it as uncharacterized. Lineage: Eukaryota; Metazoa; Chordata; Mammalia; Primates; Cebidae. The record is from RefSeq and is a predicted model, not a curated record. The transcript is spliced from 3 exons.
AUGCUUGCUUCCUGUACAGCCUGCAGAACUGUGAGCCAAUUAAGCCUCUUUUCUUUAUAAAUUACACAGUUUUAGGUAUUUACAGCAAUUCAAGAACCGACUAAUACACAGCCUUUGCAAAAGUGUGCAUAGUCCAGGAGUACCCCACCCCAAAACAGCCAGUAUAAGACCAAUAGGAGCAAGACAGAGGGGUGAGGACAAAGAGAAGUGUGAGGAAUCUGGAGGAUUUCUUUGGCCCCUCGACUGUUGCCUCUUGCUUUCCUUCCCUGGAGAUUGUGGUCUUUCAGAACAAUCAGCCAAGCAGAAAACAGUCUUCUCUGGGUUAAGAUGGCAGCAACAAGUAAUUUAAUACUUUACCUUGAUUGGAUUAGUAGCAAAGGCAUUGACCAGUCUCUCUAGCUGAUACAAGGUCAGUUUAUCCUGUCUAAAUUAAAUCUCUUCGGCAUCCUUGGUUUGAACAGCCUACUCAUAUUUUCUGCAGAUGCUCUAUACAUUUUUGUUGUUGUUUUUUAGGGAUGGAGAAGCAAAAAUGCAUUCUCUUUUCUUAGGUGGGAGGACUGAUUGCCUCUGCCUCGCCAGCGUGAUUAUUGCAGCACAUACAUAGGUUCAGAGCUGCCGAGAAAAGUAAUGGAUCUGCCCGAAUUAGCGCCUGACUUGGGAGCUUCUUGCCCAUGUGACCAAGAAUUGGUCAAAGUCACAGGCACCUUUAGCAGCAACUCUUGGGAAGAAUGUGAUUGACUUGUCAGGAUUCUCAGUGUUAAAACCAAUGCUCUGAGUAUGAGUUGUGCAGUUGGAAUAAAGAACAGUGAAAUCGCGUACCUCUCUCAAAACAUUCAAGGCCUCUUUCUUCUACACUAACUUGCUGAUGAUUGCAAGUAAAGAGAUAAAAAUAAAUGCACUCAUGAAUCUAUCACUGGUUAAUGAUGUAUAAAUAAUCCUUCUAGGUAGACAGAUUGUCACUUCUGUGGCUGAAUUUGGAGGGAGGACCUCCAAGACUCUUGGUUGGCUAGAAAUUUAGGAUAAAAAUCACAAUUUCUUGAGCCCUGUAGAAUUUUUAUGUAGGCUUUUGUUUGUUUUUGUCACUUGAGUUAUCUGAAAUUCAAUCUUGUUCGGCUUUUAACUAAAAGAUACCUCCCUGUAAACCCAAGUCUCUCAGUUACAUGCAUUUUUGAAAACUGAAACCCAUAGAGGACACGUUACUGGUUCCAGUGCUUUGGCUAAUGAGGGCGUGCCCCUGAGAGGAGCUGGCGGUUAAUGGUGGUGUUUCUGGGCUAGGGCUGUGUCAUCUUUUUUCCUGUCCAAGAGUGUAGAGUCAUGCCAGCUAUGAAGGACAAUUAUAACUUUAAGCAAAGACAUUCCUGGGAGAGCCACCCCUCUAAAAAUGGAAAUAAGUGGGCAGGGCAAGAAUCUCUAAAAGGCCUCUGAUUUUCUUAUCCCAGCCAUGCUUAAUCCAGCAGUUAAAUGUCCUAGAAAAAUUACACCUUCGUCUUUCUUUUCACUUAUCAAGUGUCUGAGCAUGUUCCUGAUUGAGUACUUGCAGAAUUUGAAAAUGCUGAGUCGGCUGGGCUGCUAAGAAUGGGAAAAGAAAUAAAAUAAACCUUGACAAAAUUGACCCUGGCCCCUGCUGAUGAAAAAUAUAGCCCAAUAUGGCCACAGCACAGGUUCGAAGGGUGGUUCUUCUGUGAACCAGCUGUCACUUACCAGACGUAAAAAAACCGUCAGUCCACAGCUGAAUCUGGCCAACAGAGAUCUCCAGUUUAGCUAGGAAGAGUGUGGAAUUGUAUUUUUUAUUGCAGGAAGCCCUCUUUAGUUCACCACCAGUUCUUGUCUCCACUGUGUCCUCAACGUUCCCUUCCCACUUGAUCUGUAUCUGUCACCUGACUCUCCCUGGAGCCAUGUAAGUCUAUAACCACCUUCAGCCUCAUUUUCCUCAACUGCCAAAUGUGAACCAAGCCUGUUUCACAGGUUGUUGUGAGAGUCUACUGUGACAGCGUGGAUGACACGGCCAGCAUGGGCUAGUGCUGCAUGAGCUCAGUGCACUUCUUUCUUUCUCUUUUCCUUUUCUCUUGCCCCAUUUCUCAUUCUUGUUUUCCUCUUCUUUGUGAUGUUUGGAUAUUUAUUUGAUCUCGUUGCUAAACUUUAAGCAAGUUUUUUUUUUUUCAGGUCAUGGAACCUCUGGGUUAUUCUUGUUUGUCCUGAAGUGAAAGUUGUACUAAAUAUGUCCUCUGCUUCUCCACAAUGUAUGAAUCGAAAGAGGCGUAUCUAAAAGGCACAAAAGUGAUUAAACACUGAGUUAGUCAUGCCCUGAGUUAAGACGAGGUUUGACCCUGCUCCACAUUAAUCCAGAAGAUGGUUGAAGAUGACGACCUUGCAUGCAUUUUGCUUGGGGGAUCUUACAGUUAGUGAAAUUAAACUGCCUCGCUG